This 690-nucleotide ribosomal RNA is filed under the name Bacillus subtilis. RNAcentral's name for it is "bacterial SSU rRNA". It matches the Rfam family "Bacterial small subunit ribosomal RNA", at positions 51 to 723 of the family's 1533-position model. The record is from RNAcentral. Lineage: Bacteria; Bacillati; Bacillota; Bacilli; Caryophanales; Bacillaceae.
UUACCAAAAAGUCGAGCGGACAGAUGGGAGCUUGCUCCCUGAUGUUAGCGGCGGACGGGUGAGUAACACGUGGGUAACCUGCCUGUAAGACUGGGAUAACUCCGGGAAACCGGGGCUAAUACCGGAUGGUUGUUUGAACCGCAUGGUUCAGACAUAAAAGGUGGCUUCGGCUACCACUUACAGAUGGACCCGCGGCGCAUUAGCUAGUUGGUGAGGUAACGGCUCACCAAGGCAACGAUGCGUAGCCGACCUGAGAGGGUGAUCGGCCACACUGGGACUGAGACACGGCCCAGACUCCUACGGGAGGCAGCAGUAGGGAAUCUUCCGCAAUGGACGAAAGUCUGACGGAGCAACGCCGCGUGAGUGAUGAAGGUUUUCGGAUCGUAAAGCUCUGUUGUUAGGGAAGAACAAGUGCCGUUCAAAUAGGGCGGCACCUUGACGGUACCUAACCAGAAAGCCACGGCUAACUACGUGCCAGCAGCCGCGGUAAUACGUAGGUGGCAAGCGUUGUCCGGAAUUAUUGGGCGUAAAGGGCUCGCAGGCGGUUUCUUAAGUCUGAUGUGAAAGCCCCCGGCUCAACCGGGGAGGGUCAUUGGAAACUGGGGAACUUGAGUGCAGAAGAGGAGAGUGGAAUUCCCCGUGUAUCGGUGAAAUGCGUACAGGUGUGGAGAAACACGGGUGUCUAAUGCG